AGUAAAGUGGCGCACGGGUGAGUAACGCGUAGGUAAUCUACCCUAGUGUACGGGACAACAUCGGGAAACUGGUGCUAAUACCGAAUACGCUUCUUUAAAUGCGAAUUUUUAGAAGGAAAGGUGGCCUCUUCAUGAAAGCUACUGCACAAGGAUGAGCCUGCGUACCAUUAGCUAGUUGGUGGGGUAAUGGCCUACCAAGGCUUCGAUGGUUAGCGGGUCUGAGAGGAUGAUCCGCCACACUGGCACUGGAACACGGGCCAGACUCCUACGGGAGGCAGCAGUGAGGAAUUUUGCACAAUGGGGGAAACCCUGAUGCAGCGACGCCGCGUGAGUGAUGAAGGCCCUCGGGUCGUAAAGCUCUGUCAAUAGGGAAGAAAUGCGAUGUGGUUAAUACCCAUGUUGUUUGACGGUACCUGUAAAGGAAGCACCGGCUAAAUCCGUGCCAGCAGCCGCGGUAAUACGGAUGGUGCGAGCGUUGUUCGGAAUUACUGGGCGUAAAGGGCGCG
RNAcentral lists this ribosomal RNA (506 nucleotides) under uncultured delta proteobacterium. RNAcentral's name for it is "bacterial SSU rRNA". It matches the Rfam family "Bacterial small subunit ribosomal RNA", at positions 89 to 571 of the family's 1533-position model. The record is from RNAcentral. Lineage: Bacteria; Deltaproteobacteria.